GAUUAGUGGCGAACGGGCGAGUAACACGUGAGUAACCUGUCCUUUUCUUUGGGAUAACGGCUGGAAACGGCUGCUAAUACUGGAUAUUCAGGCUGCAUCGCAUGGUGUGGUUUGGAAAGGUUUUUUCUGGGAUUGGGUGGGCUCGCGGCCUAUCAGCUUGUUGGUGGGGUGAUGGCUUACCAAGGCUUUGACGGGUAGCCGGCCUGAGAGGGUGGUCGGUCGCACUGGGACUGAGAUACGGCCCAGACUCC
Molecule: ribosomal RNA, 251 nt
Filed under: uncultured Mobiluncus sp.
Lineage: Bacteria; Bacillati; Actinomycetota; Actinomycetes; Actinomycetales; Actinomycetaceae
Description: partial 16S ribosomal RNA
Rfam family: Bacterial small subunit ribosomal RNA
Source: RNAcentral